RNAcentral lists this ribosomal RNA (465 nucleotides) under uncultured bacterium. RNAcentral's name for it is "partial 16S ribosomal RNA". It matches the Rfam family "Bacterial small subunit ribosomal RNA", at positions 338 to 795 of the family's 1533-position model. The record is from RNAcentral.
CCUACGGGAGGCAGCAGUGGGGAAUUUUGCGCAAUGCUCGUAAGAGUGACGCAGCGACGCCGCGUGAAUGACGAAGGCCUUCGGGUCGUAAAGUGCUUUCGACAGGGAAGAAAAUGCAUAUAAGUAACUGAGUAUGUAUUGACGGUACCUGUAUAAGCAGCCCAGGCUAACUCCGUGCCAGCAGCCGCGGUAAUACGGAGGGGGCGAGCGUUGUUCGGAGGAGCUGGGCGGAAAGAGCAAGUAUGCGGUGUUGUAAGUCAUGAGUCAAAGACUAGAGCUCAACUUUAGUAAGGCUAGUGAUACUAUAAUACUAGAGUAUCAGAGAGGAUUGCAGAAUUCCUGGUGAAGCGGUGAAAUGCGUAGAUAUCAGGAGGAAUACCGUUGGCGAAGGCGGCAAUCUGGCUGGAAACUGACGCUGAGGUGCGAAAGCGUGGGUAGCAAACAGGAUUAGAUACCCUGGUAGUC